This 107-nucleotide small RNA is filed under the name Marmota monax (woodchuck). The record is from RNAcentral. Lineage: Eukaryota; Metazoa; Chordata; Mammalia; Rodentia; Sciuridae.
GCUGGGCACAGUACCGCGUGCCUGUGAUCUCAGCUACUCAGGAGGCUGAGGCAGGAGGAUUGCAAGUUGGAGGCCAGUUUAGACAACUAAGUGAGAUCCUGUCUCAA